AACGAACGCUGGCGGCAGGCUUAACACAUGCAAGUCGAACGCAUGCCUUCGGGCAUGAGUGGCAGACGGGUGCGUAACGCGUGGGAACCUACCCCUUGGUACGGGAUAGCUCCGGGAAACUGGAGAUAAUACCGUAUGUGUCCUGAGGGACAAAGAUUCAUCGCCAAGGGAUGGGCCCGCGUCGGAUUAGCUAGUUGGUGGGGUAACGGCCUACCAAGGCGACGAUCCGUAGCUGGUCUAAGAGGAUGAUCAGCCACAUUGGGACUGAGACACGGCCCAAACUCCUACGGGAGGCAGCGGUGGGGAAUAUUGGACAAUGGGCGCAAGCCUGAUCCAGCCAUGCCGCGUGAGUGAUGAAGGCCCUAGGGUUGUAAAGCUCUUUCACCGGUGACGAUAAUGACGGUAACCGGAGAAGAAGCCCCGGCUAACUUCGUG
Molecule: ribosomal RNA, 435 nt
Filed under: uncultured bacterium
Lineage: Bacteria
Description: partial 16S ribosomal RNA
Rfam family: Bacterial small subunit ribosomal RNA
Source: RNAcentral